This 66-nucleotide transfer RNA is filed under the name Gyrostigma rhinocerontis. RNAcentral describes it as "tRNA-Ile". Lineage: Eukaryota; Metazoa; Arthropoda; Insecta; Diptera; Oestridae. The record is from RNAcentral.
AAUGAAUUGCCUGAUGAAAAGGAUUACCUUGAUAGGGUAAAUUAUGUAAUACUAUUACAUUCAUUA